UACAGAGGUCUCAAGCGUUAAUCGGAAUUACUGGGCUUAAAGGGUCCGCAGGCGGACCAGCAAGUACCUUGUGAAAUCUCAGGUCUCAACCCUGAGUCUGCUGGGUAGACUGCUGGUCUUGAGUGCAAAAGGGGUCGCUGGAACUCUAGGUGGAGCGGUGAAAUGCGUAGAUAUCGUAAGGAAGACCAGUGGCGAAGGCGGAUCUCUGGACAGUUACUGACACUGAGGCACGAAGGCCAGGGGAGCAAACGGG
RNAcentral lists this ribosomal RNA (253 nucleotides) under uncultured bacterium. Its description in RNAcentral is "partial 16S ribosomal RNA". It matches the Rfam family "Bacterial small subunit ribosomal RNA", at positions 524 to 776 of the family's 1533-position model. The record is from RNAcentral.